ACUCCUACGGGAGGCAGCAGUUGGGAAUAUUGGACAACGGAGGAAACUCUGAUCCAGUGACGCCGCGUGAAGGAAGAAGGUCUUCGGAUGGUAAACAUAUUCUAUCAGCGAAGAAGAAAAUGACAGACC
This 129-nucleotide ribosomal RNA is filed under the name uncultured Bacteroidota bacterium. RNAcentral describes it as "uncultured Bacteroidetes bacterium partial 16S ribosomal RNA". It matches the Rfam family "Bacterial small subunit ribosomal RNA", at positions 335 to 463 of the family's 1533-position model. Lineage: Bacteria; Pseudomonadati; Bacteroidota. The record is from RNAcentral.